GCCAGGAUGGCAUAAUGGUUUGAAUGUUGGACUGUGACGCUGGAGACCAGGGUUCGAUUCCCAGCUCGGCCA
Non-coding RNA from Phrynosoma platyrhinos (Desert horned lizard), 72 nucleotides. NCBI's taxonomy places the organism in Eukaryota, Metazoa, Chordata, Lepidosauria, Squamata, Phrynosomatidae. The record is from the annotation of a GenBank genome assembly.